GGGUUGUGAGGUUAAGCGACUAAGCGUACACGGUGGAUGCCCUGGCAGUCAGAGGCGAUGAAGGACGUGCUAAUCUGCGAAAAGCGUCGGUAAGGUGAUAUGAACCGUUACAGCCGGCGAUGUCCGAAUGGGGAAACCCAGUGCAAUUCGUUGCACUAUCGUUUGAUGAAUACAUAGUCAAACGAGGCGAACCGGGGGAACUGAAACAUCUAAGUACCCCGAGGAAAAGAAAUCAACCGAGAUUCCCCCAGUAGCGGCGAGCGAACGGGGAGCAGCCCGGAGUCUGAAUCAGCUUGUGUGUUAGUGGAAGCGUCUGGAAAGUCGCAGGGUACAGGGUGAUACUCCCGUACACUAAAACACACAGGUUGUGAACUCGAAGAGUAGGGCGGGACACGUGGUAUCCUGUCUGAAUAUGGGGGGACCAUCCUCCAAGGCUAAAUACUCCUGACUGACCGAUAGUGAACCAGUACCGUGAGGGAAAGGCGAAAAGAAC
RNAcentral lists this ribosomal RNA (493 nucleotides) under Klebsiella michiganensis. RNAcentral describes it as "partial 23S ribosomal RNA". It matches the Rfam family "Bacterial large subunit ribosomal RNA", at positions 1 to 524 of the family's 2925-position model. Lineage: Bacteria; Pseudomonadati; Pseudomonadota; Gammaproteobacteria; Enterobacterales; Enterobacteriaceae. The record is from RNAcentral.